RNAcentral lists this ribosomal RNA (254 nucleotides) under uncultured bacterium. RNAcentral describes it as "partial 16S ribosomal RNA". It matches the Rfam family "Bacterial small subunit ribosomal RNA", at positions 524 to 776 of the family's 1533-position model. The record is from RNAcentral.
CACGUAGGCACCAAGCGUUGUCCGGAUUUAUUGGGCGUAAAGAGCUCGUAGGCGGUUCGGUAAGUCGGGUGUGAAAACUCUGGGCUCAACCCAGAGCCGCCACCCGAUACUGCUGUGACUCGAGUGCGGUAGGGGAGCGGGGAAUUCCUGGUGUAGCGGUGAAAUGCGCAGAUAUCAGGAGGAACACCAGUGGCGAAGGCGGCUCACUGGCCCGGUACUGACGCUGAGGUGCGAAAGCGUGGGGAGCAAACAGG